This is a long non-coding RNA of Onthophagus taurus, 255 nucleotides long. RefSeq lists it as uncharacterized. Lineage: Eukaryota; Metazoa; Arthropoda; Insecta; Coleoptera; Scarabaeidae. The record is from RefSeq and is a predicted model, not a curated record.
GUCCAAUUCCGCACCUGAAGCGCACUGGUUUGUUGUACCACAUAAACGGAGCACUUGAAAACUUAUUGGUAAAAGCGCAUCGACUAGUGGCGAAAGAAACAAACAAUAGAGCCGAGUUAUAUAUGUCAUUGUUGGCAAAACUGAAUUGUGGAAAACGUUUGAAUUUGACGCAAUGAAAUUCUUUCCAAAACAGAGCAUAUAUAACCGGCUUGCGUUACAAUGAAGGUGUAUCAUGGCAACAACGGGGAUUACAAG